UUUGGGCGCGUCUCCCUUCUCGGGAGACUCUCUCAACCCCACGAACCCUUGACCUCAAAUCGGGUGAGACUACCCGCUGAACUUAAGCAUAUCAAUAAGCGGAGGAAAAGAAACUAACAAGGAUUCCCCUAGUAACUGCGAGUGAAGCGGGAAAAGCUCAAAUUUAAAAUCUGGCGGUCUCUGGCCGU
RNAcentral lists this ribosomal RNA (188 nucleotides) under Lactarius sp. MTS 3445. RNAcentral's name for it is "partial 28S ribosomal RNA". The stretch from base 50 to 188 matches the Rfam family "Eukaryotic large subunit ribosomal RNA", at positions 1 to 138 of the family's 3401-position model. The record is from RNAcentral. Lineage: Eukaryota; Fungi; Basidiomycota; Agaricomycetes; Russulales; Russulaceae.